AUGGGGAGAAACGGCGGAAAAAUGGGAAAAAAAGAUGAAAAAAUGGGGAAAAACAACAAAAAAAUGGAGAGAAAUGAUGGAAAAAUGGGAAAAAGAGGGACACAGAAAAGGGAGAACCCAGCCCGGCACGUGGCCAACUCCCAGGCCUUGGACUCUGCAAUUCCAGGGGGAAAAUCCAGGGAAAAAUUCAUGGGAUGGGGAGAAACGAGGAAAAAAUGGGGAGAAACAAUGAAAAAAAUGGGAAAAAAAGAUGAAAAAAUGGGAAAAAAAGGACACAGAAAAGGGAGAGCCCAGCCCAGCAUGUGGCCACCUCCCAGGCCGUGGACUCUGCAAUUCCAGUUAAAAAUCCUUUUCCCAUUUUUCCCUAUUUUUUUUCCCCCAUUUUGUUCCCAUUUUCCCCAUUUUGUUCCCAUUUCCCCAUUUUGUUCCCAUUUUCCUCAAUUUGUUCCCAUUUUUCCCCAUUUUUUCCCUGUUUUGCUCCCAUUUUCCCCAAUUUAUUCCUAUUUUCCCCAUUUUGUCCCCAUUUUCCCCCAUUUUUUCCAUAUUUUCCCCCAUUUUGUUCCCAUUUUCCCCAUUUUGUUCUCAUUUUCCCAAUUUUAUCCCCAUUUUGUUCCCAUUUUCUUCCCAUUUUCCUCCAUUUUUUGCCCAUUUGAUUCCCAUUUCCCCAUUUUGUUCCCAUUUCCCCAUUUUGUUCCCCAUUUUUCACCAUUUUCCCCCAUUUUUUCCGUUUUGUUCCCAUUUUUCCAAUUUGUUCCAAUUUUUCCCCGUUUUCCUCCAUUUUCUUCCCAUUUUCCCCAUUUCCCCCCCUUUUUCCCCCAUUUUUCCCCAUUUCCCCCAUUUUAUUCCCAUUUCCCNNNNNNNNNNAAUUUUCCCCAUUUUAUUUCCAUUUUCCCCCAUUUUCCCCCCAUUUUAUUCCCAUUUUUUCCCCAUUUUUUCCGUUUUUCCCGUUUUUCUCACCGUUCAUCCUCCAGAUCUUCACCUGGCGGUCGUCGGCUCCGGACACAAUCAGGGGCAUGGAGGGGUGGAAGGCGGCCCAGUUCACCCCGCGGUCGUGGCCCUGGAGCCGGAAUUCCGGGAAAAACAACGGGAAUCAGACGGAAUUCCGGGAAUAACAACGGGAAUCAGCCGGAAUCCCGGGAAAAACAACGGGAAUCAGCCAGAAUCCCGGGAAAAACAACGGGAAUCAGCCACAAUCCCAUGAAAAAAAUUCCCUGCAGAUUCCCAUGGAUUUCCUGUCAUUCCCCAUGGAUUUCAUGGAUUCUCCAUGGAUUCCCCAUUAAUCUCCAUGGAUUUCCAUGGAUUUCCCAUGGAUCCCCCACGGAUUCCUCAUAG
This 1332-nucleotide long non-coding RNA is filed under the name Chloebia gouldiae (Gouldian finch). RNAcentral describes it as "Erythrura gouldiae (Gouldian finch) lncRNA (ENSEGOG00005009614.1)". Lineage: Eukaryota; Metazoa; Chordata; Aves; Passeriformes; Passeridae. The record is from RNAcentral.